UGACGGUAGUCAUAUGCUUGUCUCUCAGAUUAAGCCAUGCACGUGUAAGUUGAUCCGCAAUGCGGAGAAACUGCGGAUGGCUCAUUAAAACAGUUAUAAUCUACCCGGCUUUUAUUGUGGUUCAGUGGUUGUUUCGACAUCCAGUGUUCUACUCUAUAAGGAUAACCGAGGGAAAUCUGUGGCUAACACUUGCAAUAAAAGGAUUCCUUCUUACCGUUUGGACGUUGACGGGUUCGCCCCGAUGCGCUCAUCUGGCUGAGGGUUUCCUAGACUUACUUGACCAUAAUCCUAGCCUUCGGGCCAGGACAAUACCCGCACGGUUACUACCAUGCGUUCCUAUCGAGGAAGCAGAGUAAUUUUCUAGAUCGACACCGGUUCCUUAGGGUUCCACGUCGACGGACCGGGAGAAUUUCUGACCUAUCAACUAUGAUGGUGGGGUAGCGGCCUACCAUGGUUAUGACGGGUAACGGGGAAUUAGGGUUCGAUUCCGGAGAGGGAGCCUGAGAAAUGGCUACCAUUCCCAUGGAAAGCAGCAGGCGCGUAAAUUACCCAAUUUCGAUUCAAAGAGGUAGUGACAAGAAAUACCGUUUUGGUUUCCAUCUGGAAUCCACAUAUGGAAUGAGUAAGGUUUAAAAUACCCUACAAGGAACAAUUGGAGGACAAGUCUGGUGCCAGCACCCGCGGUAAUUCCAGCUCCAAUAGCAUAUGUUAAAUUUGCUGUAGUUAAAAAGCUCGUAGUUGGAUGAAAUAAUUUCGAGGGUUUCUCGGAGCAGAAGUCUUUACUACGUGUACUGACUAUUGUGUCUUUGAUUCCCGAGGAUUAUUAGUGUCGUUGGAUGCCGAAGGUGUUCCGUGCCUUGGUUCGCCUCGGUCGCGGACCCCUCGUGCCAUCCUUCGUCUACACAUAAGCUUUGAAAAAAUUAGAGUGUUUAAAGCAGGUUUAUUCCUAUAUAAAAUCACAUAGAACUUCGAAAAAGGACAUACUGGACAAGUGGUAUUUAUCCAUCGUUUGUACAUGAUAAAUAGGGACAAUCGGGGUCGUUCGUAUUGAUCCGGGAGAGGUGAAAUUCUAAGAUCGGAUCAGGACGUACAACUGCGAAAGCAUUCGACAAGGAUGUUUUCAUUAAUCAAGAACGAAAGUUAAGGGAUCGAAGAUGAUCAGAUACCGUCGUAGUCUUAACUAUAAACUAUAUCAACCAUACGUUCCGGGACGUUGUUUUGGACUCCCAAAGCGUUAUAUGAGAAAUCUCGAGUAUGAUUCUAGGGGGAGUAUGGUCGCAAGGCUGAAACUUAAAGGAAUUGACGGAAGGGCACAACCAGGAGUGGAAUCUGCGGC
Molecule: ribosomal RNA, 1336 nt
Filed under: uncultured soil eukaryote
Lineage: Eukaryota
Description: partial small subunit ribosomal RNA
Rfam family: Eukaryotic small subunit ribosomal RNA
Source: RNAcentral